RNAcentral lists this ribosomal RNA (406 nucleotides) under Cardinium endosymbiont of Bemisia tabaci. Its description in RNAcentral is "bacterial SSU rRNA". It matches the Rfam family "Bacterial small subunit ribosomal RNA", at positions 234 to 637 of the family's 1533-position model. The record is from RNAcentral. Lineage: Bacteria; Pseudomonadati; Bacteroidota; Cytophagia; Cytophagales; Amoebophilaceae.
CGUCCUAUUAGCUAGUUGGUGAGGCAAUGGCUCACCAAGGCUACGAUGGGUAGGGGUUCUUAGUGGAAGAUCCCCCACACUGGCACUGAGAUACGGGCCAGACUCCUACGGGAGGCAGCAGUAGGGAAUAUUGGUCAAUGGGCGAAAGCCUGAACCAGCCACGCCGCGUGCAGGAUGACAGCUCUCUGAGUUGUAAACUGCUUUUGUACAGGAGCAAAACAAUCCCUGCGGGGGUUCUUGAGAGUACUGUAAGAAUAAGCACCGGCUAAUUCCGUGCCAGCAGCCGCGGUAAUACGGAAGGUGCAAGCGUUAUCCGGUUUUAUUGGGUUUAAAGGGUGCGUAGGCGGCUUAUUAAGUCAGUUGUGAAAUCCUAGUGCUUAACGCUAGAACUGCAAUUGAUACUAUU